RNAcentral lists this ribosomal RNA (253 nucleotides) under uncultured bacterium. Its description in RNAcentral is "partial 16S ribosomal RNA". It matches the Rfam family "Bacterial small subunit ribosomal RNA", at positions 524 to 776 of the family's 1533-position model. The record is from RNAcentral.
UACGUAGGGACCGAGCGUUGUCCGGAAUCAUUGGGCGUAAAGAGCGUGUAGGCGGCCUUUUAAGUCCUGCGUGAAAUCCUGCGGCUCAACCGCAGACGGUCGUGGGAAACUGGAAGGCUAGAGUGCGGGAGAGGAGAGUGGAAUUCCCGGUGUAGCGGUGAAAUGCGUAGAUAUCUGGAGGAACACCGGUGGCGAAGGCGGCAUCCUGGACCGGUAUUGACGCUGAGGCGCGAAAGCUAGGGGAGCAAACGGG